UCCGGUUUGGCACCGGCAGUCUCCCUAGAGUUCCCGGCAUCACCCGCUGGCAACUAAGGACAGGGGUUGCGCUCGUUGCGCCACUUAAGGCAACACCUCACGACACGAGCUGACGACAGCCAUGCAGCACCUGUCUCACGGUUCCCGAAGGCACUCCUACAUUUCUGUAAGAUUCCGUGGAUUCAAAGGUAGGUAAGGUUCUUCGCGUUGCGUCGAAUUAAACCACAUGCUCCACCGCUUGUGCGGGCCCCCGUCAAUUCCUUUGAGUUUUAACCUUGCGGCCGUACUCCCCAGGCGGAGAACUUAACGCGUUUGCUGCGAUACUAAAAGGUCUAAGCCCCCUAACAUCUAGUUCUCAUCGUUUACGGCGUGGACUAC
RNAcentral lists this unclassified non-coding RNA (378 nucleotides) under uncultured Gammaproteobacteria bacterium. RNAcentral describes it as "contains 16S-23S intergenic spacer region". The record is from RNAcentral. Lineage: Bacteria; Pseudomonadati; Pseudomonadota; Gammaproteobacteria.